UUGAACGCUGGCGGCAUGCUUUACACAUGCAAGUCGAGCGGUAACAGGCCUUCGGGUGCUGACGAGUGGCGAACGGGUGAGUAAUGCAUCGGAACGUACCCAGAGGUGGGGGAUAACGCAGCGAAAGCUGUGCUAAUACCGCAUGUGAUCUGAGGAUGAAAGCGGGGGACCGAGCAGCAAUGUUUGGCCUCGCGCCUUUGGAGCGGCCGAUGUCGGAUUAGCUAGUUGGUGGGGUAAAGGCCUACCAAGGCGACGAUCCGUAGCUGGUCUGAGAGGACGACCAGCCACACUGGGACUGAGACACGGCCCAGACUCCUACGGGAGGCAGCAGUGGGGAAUUUUGGACAAUGGGCGCAAGCCUGAUCCAGCAAUGCCGCGUGCGGGAAGAAAGCCUUCGGGUUGUAAACCGCUUUUGGCAGGAACGAAACGGUGUCCGCUAAUACCGGGCGCUAAUGACGGUACCUGCAGAAUAAGCACCGGCUAACUACGUG
This 491-nucleotide ribosomal RNA is filed under the name uncultured bacterium. RNAcentral's name for it is "partial 16S ribosomal RNA". It matches the Rfam family "Bacterial small subunit ribosomal RNA", at positions 29 to 507 of the family's 1533-position model. The record is from RNAcentral.